UACGUAGGUCCCGAGCGUUGUCCGGAUUUAUUGGGCGUAAAGCGAGCGCAGGUGGUUUAUUAAGUCUGGUGUAAAAGGCAGUGACUCAACCAUUGUAUGCAUUGGAAACUGGUAGACUUGAGUGCAGGAGAGGAGAGUGGAAUUCCAUGUGUAGCGGUGAAAUGCGUAGAUAUAUGGAGGAACACCGGUGGCGAAAGCGGCUCUCUGGCCUGUAACUGACACUGAGGCUCGAAAGCGUGGGGAGCAAGCAGG
This 252-nucleotide ribosomal RNA is filed under the name uncultured bacterium. Its description in RNAcentral is "partial 16S ribosomal RNA". It matches the Rfam family "Bacterial small subunit ribosomal RNA", at positions 524 to 776 of the family's 1533-position model. The record is from RNAcentral.